GAUGAACGCUGGCGGCGUGCCUAAUACAUGCAAGUCGAGCGAACAGACGAGGAGCUUGCUCCUCUGACGUUAGCGGCGGACGGGUGAGUAACACGUGGAUAACCUACCUAUAAGACUGGGAUAACUUCGGGAAACCGGAGCUAAUACCGGAUAAUAUAUUGAACCGCAUGGUUCAAUAGUGAAAGACGGUUUUGCUGUCACUUAUAGAUGGAUCCGCGCCGCAUUAGCUAGUUGGUGAGGUAACGGCUUACCAAGGCAACGAUGCGUAGCCGACCUGAGAGGGUGAUCGGCCACACUGGAACUGAGACACGGUCCAGACUCCUACGGGAGGCAGCAGGAGGGAAUCUGCCGCAAUGGGCGAAAGCCUGACGGAGCAACGCCGCGUGAGUGAUGAAGGUCUUCGGAUCGUAAAACUCUGUUAUUAGGGAAGAACAAAUGUGUAAGUAACUAUGCACGUCUUGACGGUACCUAAUCAGAAAGCCACGGCUAACUACGUG
RNAcentral lists this ribosomal RNA (497 nucleotides) under uncultured bacterium. RNAcentral describes it as "partial 16S ribosomal RNA". It matches the Rfam family "Bacterial small subunit ribosomal RNA", at positions 28 to 507 of the family's 1533-position model. The record is from RNAcentral.